ACGGGGCCCGGCGACAAGCGGUGGAGUAUGUGGUUUAAUUCGAUGCAACGCGAAGAACCUUACCUGGUCUUGACAUCCCGGAGACCCUUAGGAACUAGGGGGUGGCUUCCAUCUGGAAGAAUCUGGAGACAGGUGCUGCAUGGCUGUCGUCAGCUCGUGUCGUGAGAUGUUGGGUUAAGUCCCGCAACGAGCGCAACCCUUGCCUUUAGUUGCCAGCAGUUCGGCUGGGCACUCUAAAGGGACUGCCGGUGUUAAACCGGAGGAAGGUGGGGAUGACGUCAAAGUCCUCAUGGCCUUUAUGACCAGGGCUACACACGUACUACAAUGGCCGAUACAAAGGGCAGCGACACUGCGAGGUGAAGCCAAUCCCGUAAAAUCGGUCUCAGUCCGGAUUGGAGUCUGCAACUCGACUCCAUGAAGUUGGAAUCGCUAGUAAUCGUGGAUCAGCAUGCCACGGUGAAUACGUUCCCGGGCCUU
This 477-nucleotide ribosomal RNA is filed under the name uncultured Desulfobulbus sp. RNAcentral describes it as "bacterial SSU rRNA". It matches the Rfam family "Bacterial small subunit ribosomal RNA", at positions 916 to 1381 of the family's 1533-position model. Lineage: Bacteria; Pseudomonadati; Thermodesulfobacteriota; Desulfobulbia; Desulfobulbales; Desulfobulbaceae. The record is from RNAcentral.